Molecule: long non-coding RNA, 897 nt
Organism: Bombus pyrosoma
Lineage: Eukaryota; Metazoa; Arthropoda; Insecta; Hymenoptera; Apidae
Exons: 3
Source: RefSeq, a predicted model, not a curated record
GUAUCGUUCGGUCGCUCUCACCGCAGGUUGUAGCUAAUUUAUGGAGUUGGGGAGGAUUUGGAAUGGGCACUUGCAGGCAGGACUCUAGAUUUAUCGUGCGUUCAUGCCAGUCGUACACUUCCUUCUCACAAGAAGCCAACUAUCCUUCCGGCUACUCGACUGCCUGUUCUUUCCUCUUCUGGGCUUCUCCUUUCGUUUCUCCCUUCAUAGUCUGCGUUAUUUCAGCUGAAACCAACUAAAUAGUAAUCUUACGCCGUAAAAUAUUCACGGAUGGUGUAUACUUUCUAUAGUUCUCGCGCAAUUUGAUAACACAAAAGUUUUAAGUAAACAAGUUUCGCAAUCGCUCUUCUGCGGCCGCAGCUUUCGAAAAGUAUUACAGUCGUCGAUACAAUCUUACUAACUGCCUUAUAACUUUAUUAUCCAAGAAGCAGUCGGUCGCAUUUUGUUUCCUUUUAAUUCGCUUACCUCCAUAUUUCUUUAUUUUAAUUGUGUUUUCUUCAGUUUCAUAGUUUCUUGUUGAAGAUGACAACGUGAGUUCGCGCUCGCCAUCCAUAUGCAGAUGCGCUAGUUACAAUAAAUAGUAAUUAGAACAUAAUUCUAAAUACAAUCGAUAGAUUUAAUCGAUAGGUUUAACCCCUUGGCCUGCACGCUAUCUGCCGAUCGCGCGAACCAUAGUAAGCAAGAAGUUCGGUCGCGCGCCGUGCCAUUCAUCCGUUCAGCCGUGUGCCCAAACUGGCGCAAAAUGUAUACUUUUUACAUUUAGGGGCUACAAAAGGAAUUGCGAAAUAAUAAACAACGUUGUUGAUGGUCACCGGUGUCCACCGUGGCACCUUGGUAACAGUCGAUAGCGACGUAUUAUAACAAGGCUUCGUUUAUUUCAACAAACCAUUCGCAUUC